Molecule: small nucleolar RNA, 123 nt
Organism: Sorex araneus (European shrew)
Lineage: Eukaryota; Metazoa; Chordata; Mammalia; Eulipotyphla; Soricidae
Source: Ensembl
AUUCUUUGGAAAUCUCUGUGGUUUUACUUAGAGCCAAUGGUGAAAUUCAGAGCCUGUAGUCAUUGAGGCCUCUGACCACUGUUGUCUCUGGAAUGGGGAGGUGAAACCGGGGCCCUGAUUUAU